This 497-nucleotide ribosomal RNA is filed under the name uncultured bacterium. Its description in RNAcentral is "bacterial SSU rRNA". It matches the Rfam family "Bacterial small subunit ribosomal RNA", at positions 32 to 507 of the family's 1533-position model. The record is from RNAcentral.
AAUCAACGCUGGCGGCGUGCCUAACACAUGCAAGUCGAACGCGACUUGGGCUUCGGCCUAAGUUGAGUGGCGAACGGGUGAGUAACACGUGGGUGACCUACCUUCGAGUGGGGGAUAACGUCCCGAAAGGGACGCUAAUACCGCAUAACAUCCUGCCUUUGAACAGGUGGAGAUCAAAGCCGGGGAUCGCAAGACCUGGCGCUUGAUGAGGGGCCCGCGUCUGAUUAGCUAGUUGGUGGGGUAAUGGCUCACCAAGGCGACGAUCAGUAUCCGGCCUGAGAGGGCGGACGGACACACUGGGACUGAGACACGGCCCAGACUCCUACGGGAGGCAGCAGUGGGGAAUUGUUCGCAAUGGGCGCAAGCCUGACGACGCAACGCCGCGUGGAGGAUGAAGGUCUUCGGAUUGUAAACUCCUGUUGCUCGGGACGAAAAGCUUCGACCUAACACGUCGAGGUCUGACGGUACCGAGUGAGGAAGCCCCGGCUAACCUCGUG